CCUACGGGGGGCAGCAGUGGGGAAUAUUGGACAAUGGGGGAAACCCUGAUCCAGCGACGCCGCGUGGGUGAAGAAGGCCUGCGGGUUGUAAAGCCCUUUCGGUAGGGACGAAAGCUCUUGGUUUAAUACGCCAGGAGGUUGACUUAACCUACAUAAGAAGCACCGGCUAACUCUGUGCCAGCAGCCGCGGUAAUACAGAGGGUGCGAGCGUUAAUCGGAAUUACUGGGCGUAAAGCGCACGUAGUCGGCAUUGCAAGUCGGGUGUGAAAUCCCCGGGCUC
Molecule: ribosomal RNA, 280 nt
Filed under: uncultured Pseudomonadota bacterium
Lineage: Bacteria; Pseudomonadati; Pseudomonadota
Description: uncultured proteobacterium partial 16S ribosomal RNA
Rfam family: Bacterial small subunit ribosomal RNA
Source: RNAcentral